RNAcentral lists this ribosomal RNA (427 nucleotides) under uncultured bacterium. Its description in RNAcentral is "bacterial SSU rRNA". It matches the Rfam family "Bacterial small subunit ribosomal RNA", at positions 354 to 796 of the family's 1533-position model. The record is from RNAcentral.
GUGGGGAAUUUUCCGCAAUGGGCGCAAGCCUGACGGAGCAAUACCGCGUGGGGGAGGAAGGUCUUUGGAUUGUAAACCCCUUUUCUCAGGGAAGAAAAUUUGACGGUACCUGAGGAAUCAGCCUCGGCUAACUCCGUGCCAGCAGCCGCGGUAAGACGGAGGAGGCAAGCGUUAUCCGGAAUUAUUGGGCGUAAAGCGUCCGCAGGUGGCGAUUCAAGUCUGCUGUCAAAGGUCGGGGCUUAACCCCGGGAAGGCAGUGGAAACUGAAUAGCUAGAGUGCGGUAGGGGCAGAGGGAAUUCCCGGUGUAGCGGUGAAAUGCGUAGAGAUCGGGAAGAACACCAGUGGCGAAAGCGCUCUGCUGGGCCUGCACUGACACUGAGGGACGAAAGCUAGGGGAGCGAAAGGGAUUAGAAACCCGAGUAGUCC